UAAUGAGGGUGUCUGUGGGACUGCUAAUGAGGAGGGCAGUAGUGUACAACAAGCACCGUUUGAAGUGGAAUACAAUGAAGAUUAUCCUCGUAGGCCUUUAACAAGAGCCAGAAGUAAACUUUCCCAUGUGCCAUUGGUGUCUCAGCCAGCAGCCAAACCAAAAUCUCGGAAUUCAGUGAAGAGAAAACGGACAGCUGACAAAUCCACAAGCACCAGUGAUCCUGUGAUUGAGGAUGACCACAUCCAGGUUUUGACACUAAAAUCAAAAAACCUUGUUGGAAUCACCUUGACUAACUGCGGCAUAACAGACCUGGUGCUGAAAGACUGCCCUAAAAUGAUGUUCAUUCACGGUAUGUACAUUUUGUUUCUUAAAGCUUGAGAAAUAUUCUUG
Non-coding RNA from Thamnophis sirtalis, 391 nucleotides. Lineage: Eukaryota; Metazoa; Chordata; Lepidosauria; Squamata; Natricidae. The record is from RefSeq and is a predicted model, not a curated record.